This 89-nucleotide transfer RNA is filed under the name Clostridia bacterium. RNAcentral describes it as "tRNA-Leu". It matches the Rfam family "tRNA". From Rfam's summary of the family: Transfer RNA (tRNA) molecules are approximately 80 nucleotides in length. Their secondary structure includes four short double-helical elements and three loops (D, anti-codon, and T loops). Further hydrogen bonds mediate the characteristic L-shaped molecular structure. tRNAs have two regions of fundamental functional importance: the anti-codon, which is responsible for specific mRNA codon recognition, and the 3' end, to which the tRNAs corresponding amino acid is attached (by aminoacyl-tRNA synthetases). tRNAs cope with the degeneracy of the genetic code in two manners: having more than one tRNA (with a specific anti-codon) for a particular amino acid; and 'wobble' base-pairing, i.e. permitting non-standard base-pairing at the 3rd anti-codon position. Lineage: Bacteria; Bacillati; Bacillota; Clostridia. The record is from RNAcentral.
GCCCGAGUGGCGGAACAGGCAGACGCACAGGACUUAAAAUCCUGGGAGACUUCAAUCUCGUGCCGGUUCGAUUCCGGCCUUGGGCACCA